This is a non-coding RNA of Potamilus streckersoni, 83 nucleotides long. The record is from the annotation of a GenBank genome assembly. NCBI's taxonomy places the organism in Eukaryota, Metazoa, Mollusca, Bivalvia, Unionida, Unionidae.
UACUAGCAUUUUCCGGUGGCUUAAACGGUUAGAGCGUCUGCCUUGGAUGCGGGAGGUCGCGUGUUCGAGCCCAGGCUGAGUAA